GGAUGAAGAGCCACCCAAAAAUUAUAUUUUUAGUAUACCUAUUCAAAUCUUACCUUCUAGUAAAAAGGCUAUAAUUACCCUUAUAGACAAGAAGACCCUGUAAAACUUAACAUUAAACCCAUUUUAAAAAUAGCAUAAAUGUUUAGCUGGGGCGGCUGAAGAAAAAACAUCUUCAAAACAACAUAACAUAGUUACUAUACCCAGAAAUUCUGAAAAUAAAACAAGCUACUUCAGGGAUAACAGCGUAAUAUAUUUAAAAAGACCCUAUUGACAAAUAUGUUUGCGACCUCGAUGUUGGAUUGAGUAAUCUUUUUUCUGCAAGAGGAUAAGAAGAAGGUCUGUUCGACCUUUAAACACCCCCA
Molecule: ribosomal RNA, 362 nt
Filed under: Tityus argentinus
Lineage: Eukaryota; Metazoa; Arthropoda; Arachnida; Scorpiones; Buthidae
Description: partial 16S ribosomal RNA
Rfam family: Bacterial large subunit ribosomal RNA (bases 55-362)
Source: RNAcentral